RNAcentral lists this ribosomal RNA (198 nucleotides) under uncultured bacterium. RNAcentral describes it as "partial 16S ribosomal RNA". It matches the Rfam family "Bacterial small subunit ribosomal RNA", at positions 326 to 539 of the family's 1533-position model. The record is from RNAcentral.
ACGCUCGACACCUACGGAAGGCAGCAGUGGGGAAUAUUGCACAAUGGGGGAAACCCUGAUGCAGCGACGCCGCGUGGAGGAAGAAGGUCUUCGGAUUGUAAACUCCUGUUGUUGGGGAAAAAGAGGAUGGUACCCAACAAGGAAGUGACGGCUAACUACGUGCCAGAAGCCGCGGUAGUCUGAGCGGGCUGGCAAGGC